Molecule: unclassified non-coding RNA, 379 nt
Filed under: uncultured Chthonomonadales bacterium
Lineage: Bacteria; Bacillati; Armatimonadota; Chthonomonadia; Chthonomonadales
Description: contains 16S-23S intergenic spacer region
Source: RNAcentral
UCGCGGCUUAUCACCGGCAGUCCCCUUAGAGUGCCCAACUAAAUGAUGGCAACUAAGGGCGAGGGUUGCGCUCGUUGCGGGACUUAACCCAACAUCUCACGACACGAGCUGACGACAGCCGUGCAACACCUGUCACGCCGUCCCCUUGCGGGGAAAACCGGCUUUCACCGGCUAGCGACGGAUGUCAAGCCCUGGUAAGGUUCUACGGUUAGUGACGUAUUAAACAACAUGCUCCACCGCUUGUGCGGGCCCCCGUCAAUUCCUUUGAGUUUCAACCUUGCGGCCGUACUCCCCAGGCGGGAUACUUAAUGCGUUAGCUGCGGCACCGGAGGGGUCGAUACCCCCGACACCUAGUAUCCAUCGUUUACGGCUGGGACUA